Molecule: long non-coding RNA, 3271 nt
Organism: Nematostella vectensis (starlet sea anemone)
Lineage: Eukaryota; Metazoa; Cnidaria; Anthozoa; Actiniaria; Edwardsiidae
Exons: 2
Source: RefSeq, a predicted model, not a curated record
CAUACAAAGAGCAACACACAUUUUGUCACAUGCGCUGCAAACACGGCAAAAAAAGUCGAUUAUUCUCAGAUAUACUCCCUAGGGCAGAUUUAAGUAAGAUUCAAAAUAUUCCUCUGUCUUCCUUGCGUCUUCCCCCUAGGGGUAAAUAUUCCUGUGUCUUCCCUAAGUAUUCUCCGAAAAUACUCAAGACUAAAUUACAACAAGUAAUGCCCUAAUAUACACCGUGUGAAGACACGUGGAAGAUGCGAGUAUGCAUCUAAUUUACACCAUAUGGAAGACAAGGUGCAUAAUAAGUGUUUACCUCAUGUCUUUCCCAAAUAAUCCACGGGUGUAAACUUGUGUUUUACACAAGUCUUCCCCGAUGGUAAGGGGGGGGGGGGGUGAAUAUGUUUUCGGAUCGGCGGAUCGGGCCUAAAUUGGUCCGCGGAUUACGGAUUUAAGAAAAAAAUAGAGCGGAUUGACGGAUUCUUAAAAGGUACCGGAUUACGGAUCUAUUAAAAAUACGACGUCGGAUUUUGAUAAUCGUGACUGCGGAUUUUGCCAAUUGUUGAUUUAAAAAAAUCACAUAAGAAGUCCCUAAGAAGGGCUUACGGGCGAUUUUACAUGUCGCACAAUGCCUACAGGGUCUGCGCUGUGUGGACACGUCUUCCAUGAGCUUGAGCAUAUUAUGGUGGAUAUGACGUCAGCGGGUCUGGAAUUAGCAUAGCAUGUGGCUCACCAGUCACAUUUAUUGGUUAGCCUCUGGUCGUGUUCUUGAUGAAUUAUUCAAAGCCAAUCGAGUGUGUGGCAUUCUUUUACCGAGAAGGGUCUAAAGGGGAUGAUUUUCUACAAAAGUAUAAAUUCAGAUGUUCGGUUGAUGCAGAGAAAUGCAAAAGCCUUAUCAAGCUACGUGAACAUGUUCGGUAAGUGUAAGUUUCCCGCUCUUUUUGUUUUCUUUGUUGCCCGUACUACUAAUACUGCUUGCUUAUUUAUUUAUUUAUUUAUUUAUUUAUUUAUUUAUUUAUUUAUUUAUUUAUUUAUUUAUUUAUUUAUUUAUUUAUUUAUUUAUUUAUUUAUUUAUUUAUUUAUUGUUUUUUUUGCUAUCAAGUGCUCGUUUAUCCUUCCAAACUUGUGUUUGCCAAAAAAGCACCAGUGAUUGUCAUCAGCGAUCCUGGAGGCACUGUCGUAAGUCACGUCUACUGACGCUGCGCAACCAAGUACUUGUUCCAAAUCGCCAAGCCGACAAAAGACCCCAAAAGCGAGACUAUUGACGGAUACGCAGGUUGCUGCGCUUUACAAUGAUUUUGGCAAACUUGAUGGCUGCAAAAAAAAGUCGAGUCAUCUGUUAAAACGCCUAUCAAACAAAAAGGAAAGAUCACAGCUUGGCCAUACCAUAUAAAAUGCGGUAUCUGUAGAGUGACAAGACAGCUUGACUAUGACUGCAAACAUAAAGGAAGAAUUUCCAAAUUCAGGAGGGGUAUGUAAGGCUUACGAAGGAUCUAUUUUUAAUUUUCAGGCACGAUUUUAGGUUCCAGUUUGUCUUUUUAAUAUGCUUCCGGACUAUUAAAGGCUACUAAACGAGAAAUUUCUUGGACAAGAUAAAGUGUCCUUCGAUCCUCCUAUCCCAAGCGGAAUAUCAUCCCUUUCUGUCCUAUACUAGGCGGGAUUACCAGAAAAUCAGACUUACUCUUUCUUUUUCUCUAUUUCAUUAUAGAAGUUUACAUGAACAUAACAAAAAAUACAUUUUCGUUGGAUAGAUAAAUAAAUAAAUGUUAAAUCAAGGACGAGAUUUCUGGUUAAAUAACUCAUACUGCCUAUGUAAGAUGCCGAAAACUAUUUAUUAGCUUUACAAAAAGCACAGUGUAACUAAGCGUUAUAACCAAAUAAAGGUUUGUUUUGUUUUAUAGUAAUUUUGGUUUAUUGAUAUAUAGAAGUCUUAGCGAAAGUGACGUCGAUUACAGUGACUGUGAUUUCCAAAGCGCAUCAUCCAUUGACAGUCUAAAUUCCAGCGAGUUUACGGAAGGCGAGGGUAGUGAUACAGGGAAUGACAGUAAUGAGGAGGAGCCGAGGAUUAAGGUGGAUAGCGACAUUGACCAGGACGACAGUUCGUCUAUGAUUUAUGGUAUCGAGAUGGCGGAUCCAGUUUGCGUAAAGCUAAAUGACUUUAUCCGCAGAGGGAAAAUCGAAAUGACGUCACAGAAAUCUACUAUGACCCCCUUCAUGAAUAUGACAAGGACGUCAUAGAGUUUUUUUAACUCAAAAACUUAUCUCGGUGGAAGAAAAGUUGCUUGCUUUAUUAGAGGACCCAUGAACUGCAAGGAAGGUAGAGCAAGCCAGCUAGAUCCCGGUAGUGAAAAGCGAAUCAAUCUUGGAGGGCCGUCAUAAAAGACAUGCCUAAAACACCAAGCUGGCUAUACGAACGAGCCAGGGGUAUGGAAGCCACUUUCACUCGGCCAGCUAGCACUAAUGAGUCAAUUCAAGUGUCUUCCAGUUCUAAAGGCGGAUAAUAUUGUUGCCUAUCCUUGCUGUCUAGCAAACGAUGGUACGGCACUGAAGCCAGCUAUACAAUUUGAUGAAACGCUAAAAGAAGAUGUCGGUUUAAUCAAUAACAUAGAUAUCAACUUUGUCAAAAGAAAUCCGAAGCCCACUCCUGAAUUCCUGAAAGAAAACUUGGUGCAUGAGGCUGUUGUAUCUUCCGUGACCAGCCUUGAUAACAAGUGCAGCUUACCUUGUGCAAUCGGGUAUUCAACAAAGGCUGGCAAAACCGCAGAGUCCUGCAAGGACAUGUUCGUCAAGCAAGUGCGAGGGGUGCCAAGAUGGGCUAGCUUUGGAGUGUAAGUUCAAGCAGCCGAUGGGAAUCUGCUCUGAAUUCGACAAUGUAGUCUAUGUCUGUGACGCCCAGUCCAACUCUAUCAAGCUUAUCACUCCUAUAUCUCAAACUGCAAAGUUUCUGAGUGGAGUAGGGAACAUCUACGAGGCGUUCGCCGUCCACAAGAAAGGUCAGAAAGUCAGAGCUAACUCUAGAAGAAGCUACACAAAAGGUUAGGGAGUGUAAACAAGUCCUUGCUGGAUACGAGAGGGCAGUGCGCCAGGAAGAUGGGCUCUCCAAAAAGACCUUGAAUGGUCCUCAAGGCAUGGUUUCGGCUGUUAACAGUACAGUCAAUCGACAUCAUGGAGUGGGGACUUUCAAGAAUGGCUGCUCUUUUGUCCAGGCUCUCGUUUUCCGACACCAGCCUUCUGAAUUGUAUGACCUUUUACAUGCAACGACUCAUAUAAAGCACCCACUUCUUUC